UGUUUUGAGACCGUGCCCGGCUGUUUCCAGGGUUCUAAAUACAGCACCGUUAAGAUGAACUGGCAAACAGAACAGCAUAGACGAGGUUUUGUCAUGUUGCCCAGGCUGGUCUCCAACUCCUGAGCUUAGGUGAUCCACCCACCUUGGCCUCCCAAAGUGUUAGGAUUACAGGUGUGAGCCACCACACCUGGCCAGGUAUUAUUCUUUACCUUUCUGCAAUCUAACUGAAAAAGGUCUCAUUGUUUUAAUGCACAUUUCUCAAUGAUGAAACACCCACCCAAGGCUUCUAUACCAUGCAGAAUGAUGCCUCUCUCCACUGGCUGCCCUGAGCACAUGCCAUGAAGAAUGAAAGCCAGGAGACAAAGGAACAAACUAGUUCAUCAUUAAAACCUGUAUGCUUUCCCUUGGAUCACAACUUUCUUUUUUUUUUUUUUUUUUUUUUUUUGAGACGGAGUCUCACUCUGUCGCCCAGGCUGGAGUGCAGUGGCACGAUCUCGGCUCACUGCAAACUCCGCCUCCCGGGUUCACA
RNAcentral lists this long non-coding RNA (529 nucleotides) under Homo sapiens (human). Its description in RNAcentral is "HSALNT0384247". The record is from RNAcentral. Lineage: Eukaryota; Metazoa; Chordata; Mammalia; Primates; Hominidae.